UACGUAGGGAGCAAGCGUUGUCCGGAAUCAUUGGGCGUAAAGCGCGCGUAGGUGGCUUCGUAAGUCCGUUGUGAAAGUCAAAGGCUCAACCUUUGAAAGCCGAUGGAUACUGCGGAGCUAGAGUACGGAAGAGGCGAGUGGAAUCCUGGUGUAGCGGUGGAAUGCGCAGAUAUCAAGGAGGAACACCAAUAGCGAAGGCAGCUCGCUGGGACGUUACUGACACUGAGGCGCGAAAGCGUGGGGAGCGAACAGG
Molecule: ribosomal RNA, 253 nt
Filed under: uncultured bacterium
Lineage: Bacteria
Description: partial 16S ribosomal RNA
Rfam family: Bacterial small subunit ribosomal RNA
Source: RNAcentral